AGAAUAUUAAGUUAAGCUAGACUAUAUGUUUUCAAAACAUAAGGUAACAGAUUUUGUUAUAUUUUG
RNAcentral lists this transfer RNA (66 nucleotides) under Microcotyle sebastis. Its description in RNAcentral is "tRNA-Trp". Lineage: Eukaryota; Metazoa; Platyhelminthes; Monogenea; Mazocraeidea; Microcotylidae. The record is from RNAcentral.